Molecule: ribosomal RNA, 478 nt
Filed under: uncultured bacterium
Lineage: Bacteria
Description: SSU rRNA
Rfam family: Bacterial small subunit ribosomal RNA
Source: RNAcentral
AGGACGAACGCUGGCGGCGUGCUUAACACAUGCAAGUCGAGCGGUGAUCCUCCUUCGGGAGGUGAGCAGCGGCGAACGGGUGAGUAACACGUGGGCAACCUGCCCCUCACACUGGGAUAACCUCGGGAAACCGGGGCUAAUACCGGAUAUGACCUCGAGCGGCAUCUCUUGAGGUGGAAAGCUCCGACGGUGAGGGAUGGGCCCGCGGCCUAUCAGCUUGUUGGUGGGGUAAUGGCCUACCAAGGCGACGACGGGUAGCCGGCCUGAGAGGGCGACCGGCCACACUGGGACUGAGACACGGCCCAGACUCCUACGGGAGGCAGCAGUGGGGAAUAUUGCGCAAUGGGCGAAAGCCUGACGCAGCGACGCCGCGUGAGGGAUGAAGGCCUUCGGGUUGUAAACCGUCUUUCAGCAGGGACGAAGCGAAAGUGACGGUACCUGCAGAAGAAGCACCGGCUAACUACGUGCCAGCAGCCGC